Molecule: ribosomal RNA, 298 nt
Filed under: uncultured bacterium
Lineage: Bacteria
Description: partial 16S ribosomal RNA
Rfam family: Bacterial small subunit ribosomal RNA
Source: RNAcentral
GUCUUCCUACGGGACGCAGCAGUCGAGAAUCAUUCACAAUGGGGGAAACCCUGAUGGUGCGACGCCGCGUGGGGGAAUGAAGGUCUUCGGAUUGUAAACCCCUGUCAUGUGGGAGCAAAUUAAAAAGAUAGUACCACAAGAGGAAGAGACGGCUAACUCUGUGCCAGUAGCCGCGGUAAUACAGAGGUCUCAAGCGUUGUUCGGAAUCACCGGGCGUAAAGCGUGCGUAGGCUGUUUCGUAAGUCGUGUGUGAAAGGCGCGGGCUCAACCCGCGGACGGCACAUGAUACUGCGAGACU